AUUGAACGCUGGCGGCAUGCUUUACACAUGCAAGUCGAACGGUAACAGGCCGCAAGGUGCUGACGAGUGGCGAACGGGUGCGUAAUGCAUCGGAACGUGCCCAGUCGUGGGGGAUAACUACUCGAAAGAGUAGCUAAUACCGCAUACGAUCUAUGGAUUAAAGCGGGGGACCGUAAGGCCUCGCGCGAUUGGAGCGGCCGAUGUCAGAUUAGGUAGUUGGUGGGGUAAAGGCUCACCAAGCCAACGAUCUGUAGCUGGUCUGAGAGGACGACCAGCCACACUGGGACUGAGACACGGCCCAGACUCCUACGGGAGGCAGCAGUGGGGAAUUUUGGACAAUGGGCGAAAGCCUGAUCCAGCAAUGCCGCGUGCAGGAAGAAGGCCUUCGGGUUGUAAACUGCUUUUGUAAGGAACGAAACGGCUCUGGUUAAUACCCGGGGCUAAUGACGGUACCGAAAGAAUAAGCACCGGCUAACUACGUG
This 482-nucleotide ribosomal RNA is filed under the name uncultured bacterium. RNAcentral's name for it is "partial 16S ribosomal RNA". It matches the Rfam family "Bacterial small subunit ribosomal RNA", at positions 30 to 507 of the family's 1533-position model. The record is from RNAcentral.